RNAcentral lists this unclassified non-coding RNA (23 nucleotides) under Mus musculus (house mouse). Its description in RNAcentral is "oocyte_clustered_small_RNA7826". Lineage: Eukaryota; Metazoa; Chordata; Mammalia; Rodentia; Muridae. The record is from RNAcentral.
CUUGCAGGGAAGGUACACAGAAC